UACCAGCUCUCCGAGUAGUGUGGAUGUUUAUUGGGCCUAAAGCAUCCGUAGCUUGCUAAGCAAGUCCUCUGUUAAAUCCACCGAUUUAAUCGUUGGAUUGCGGGGGAUACUGUUUGGCUAGGGGACGGGAGAGGCCGACGGUAUUUCCGGGGGUAGGGGUGAAAUCCUAUAAUCCCGGGAAGACCACCAGUGGCGAAGGCUGUCGGCUAGAACGCGCCCGACGGUGAGGGAUGAAAGCUGGGGGAGCGAACCGGAUUAGAUACCCGGGUAGUCCCAGCUGUAAACGAUGCAGGCUAGGUGUUUGGGCGGCCACGAGCCGCCCUAGUGCCGCAGGGAAGCUGUUAAGCCUGCCGCCUGGGGAGUACGGCCGCAAGGCUGAAACUUAAAGGAUUGGCGGGGGAGCACCACAAGGGGUGAAGCUUGCGGUUU
RNAcentral lists this ribosomal RNA (429 nucleotides) under uncultured archaeon. Its description in RNAcentral is "bacterial SSU rRNA". It matches the Rfam family "Archaeal small subunit ribosomal RNA", at positions 474 to 903 of the family's 1478-position model. The record is from RNAcentral.